This 1071-nucleotide long non-coding RNA is filed under the name Equus caballus (horse). RNAcentral's name for it is "lncRNA (ENSECAG00000049394.1)". Lineage: Eukaryota; Metazoa; Chordata; Mammalia; Perissodactyla; Equidae. The record is from RNAcentral.
AAAUGGUUCACUGGUUACUGUUAUGGUCAGUUGUUAUUUUAAAACAUGUAAAGAAGGUAUUACAGAGAAAUACAGAAUAAUUUAUGAUUUUGAGAAUACCCAAGAAUUGCUGGGAAUUCCAAUUUCUUGUUCCGGAAUCCUGAAGAUUAUUGUCUCUCAAGAAUUUGCAGACACGGUACAGUCCCUGGCACGAGCAGACACUCAGCGUAUAUUUAGAAAGAAGGGAUGUUAUUUUGUUGUUUGAUGGUCCCAGCUGUCCUAUGAAGUAGAAGUGAAUGUGCCAUUUUACACGUGAGAAUCCUGGCUCUCCUUUGAGACUGACGGGGGACAACAUCCUUAAGAUUCUUAAAAGCUGCAUUGUUCGCUGAGAUGGCCUGUGCGCCACCCCUCAGGACUCCUGGAAGUACUGAUAGUGCCUUUGCUCGUCUUCACCUGCUCUGUGGCCCAGGAGACUGCUGGUUGAGUUCAGCCACCAGAUGACGCCAGCUGAAGGUCAGUGGGGGUGGUGGUGAAUGAAGUCACAGUGUUCAUUCCUCCAGCUCCCUCCCAGAAGCUGCCAAAAGCCUGACGGCAGGAAAGAUUUAUACUCAGUGCUUCAUACAUGCUCAAAAGAAAGGAAACCAUUUAAAAAUAAAUAUGUAAUAGUUAAAGAACUUGGUCACGACUCUGCCUUAAACUUUCAGUCUAUAAAUCUGAAGUAGUAAUUGCAUGCUGUUGGGACGUUUUAGAGACUGAGGUGAUGUUUUAAAAGUGUUUUGUGCUAUUCAGAGAGAAAAUGUGGUUUACAUUAUAUUUUAAAUGUGAAUUACCAGGAAAUUAUCUCUUCUUCUUCCUCUUCUUCUUCCUCUUCCUUUUCCACUUCAGAUUAUCCCUCUUUGCCUAUAGCAUUAAGAGGGGAGAAUAUUCACAAUUAUAAAGACAGUAAUUUCCUUAAUCUAUAAAUUCAAACCAGAGACAAAUAAAACACCAGGGUGAUUCCUUUACCUUGACAAUGUACUGCUAAAGUUCAUCAGGAAUGUAGACGGAGAGCUAGAAAACUCUGAAAGAUGAGAUUGAGAGGAAGUAAUUAAC